GAUGAACGCUGGCGGCGUGCCUAAUACAUGCGAGUCGAGCGAACAGACGAGGAGCUUGCUCCUCUGACGUUAGCGGCGGACGGGUGAGUAACACGUGGAUAACCUACCUAUAAGACUGGGAUAACUUCGGGAAACCGGAGCUAAUACCGGAUAAUAUAUUGAACCGCAUGGUUCAAUAGUGAAAGACGGUUUUGCUGUCACUUAUAGAUGGAUCCGCGCCGCAUUAGCUAGUUGGUAAGGUAACGGCUUACCAAGGCAACGAUGCGUAGCCGACCUGAGAGGGUGAUCGGCCACACUGGAACUGAGACACGGUCCAGACUCCUACGGGAGGCAGCAGUAGGGAAUCUUCCGCAAAGGGCGAAAGCCUGACGGAGCAACGCCGCGUGAGUGAUGAAGGUCUUCGGAUCGUAAAACUCUGUUAUUAGGGAAGAACAAAUGUGUAAGUAACUAUGCACGUCUUGACGGUACCUAAUCAGAAAGCCACGGCUAACUACGUG
RNAcentral lists this ribosomal RNA (497 nucleotides) under uncultured bacterium. Its description in RNAcentral is "partial 16S ribosomal RNA". It matches the Rfam family "Bacterial small subunit ribosomal RNA", at positions 28 to 507 of the family's 1533-position model. The record is from RNAcentral.